GUCUCCGGACAUAUCAGCCUGAAGGCGCUAGAUCUUGUCUGCUCUCAGAAGUUAAGCAGGGUCGGGCCUGGUUAGUAUCUUGGAUGGGAGACCACCUGGGAAUCCCGGGUGCUCGAGGCU
Bison bison bison is the source of this 120-nucleotide ribosomal RNA. NCBI's taxonomy places the organism in Eukaryota, Metazoa, Chordata, Mammalia, Artiodactyla, Bovidae. The record is from Ensembl.